This 484-nucleotide ribosomal RNA is filed under the name uncultured bacterium. RNAcentral's name for it is "bacterial SSU rRNA". It matches the Rfam family "Bacterial small subunit ribosomal RNA", at positions 28 to 507 of the family's 1533-position model. The record is from RNAcentral.
GAUGAACGCUGGCGGCGUGCCUAACACAUGCAAGUCGAACGGAGUUACUUUGGUGAAGUUUUCGGAUGGAUCUGAUUUAACUUAGUGCGGACGGUGAGUAAUGCGUGAGCAACCUGCCCUUCAGAGGGGGACAACAGUUGGAAACGACUGCUAAUACCGCAUAAUGUAUUCGGAAGGCAUCUUCUGGAUACCAAAGGAGAAAUCCGCUGAGGGAUGGGCUCACGUCUGAUUAGUUAGUUGGUGAGGUAAACGGGCUCACCAAGACUGCGAUCAGUAGCCGGACUGAGAGGUUGAACGGCCACAUUGGGACUGAGAUACGGCCCAGACUCCUAACGGGAGGCAGCAGGUGGGGAAUAUUGGGCAAGUGGGGGAAACCCUGACCCAGCAACGCCGCGUGAAGGAAGAAGGCUUCGGGUUGUAAACUUCUUUACCAGGGACGAAGAAAGUGACGGUACCUGGAGAAAAAGCCACGGCUAACUACGUG